UACGUAGGGUGCGAGCGUUAAUCGGAAUUACUGGGCGUAAAGCGUGCGCAGGCGGUUUUGUAAGCCAGAUGUGAAAUCCCCGGGCUUAACCUGGGAAUGGCAUUUGGGACUGCAAGGCUGGAGUGCGGCAGAGGAGACUGGAAUUCCUGGUGUAGCAGUGAAAUGCGCAGAUAUCAGGAGGAACACCGGUGGCGAAGGCGGUCCAC
Molecule: ribosomal RNA, 206 nt
Filed under: uncultured bacterium
Lineage: Bacteria
Description: partial 16S ribosomal RNA
Rfam family: Bacterial small subunit ribosomal RNA
Source: RNAcentral